CAGCGCUGCUGAGUCUCCUACUCUCCUGAGUAAACUUCACAGAUUCACAGAAGUGACAGAAAAAUUAUUAGAUUCAUCUAAAGAUCAAAGACAGUCUUGAAGAGAAAUACAAGAGCGGAUUGAUUUUCUGGGCUCGUGAAGAUCGGAGGAAUACAACAACGAAUUGAUUUUCUGGGUUCGUGAAGAGUGAAUUGAUUUUCUGUUCGAUUAAUAAUAUAUUGGAGUUCUAGUGAAAUCUUUAAAUUUUGGUUUGAGCAGUUUGGAUAAGUGGUUGUCCCCUAAAUCUGGAAGAAUACCAUUGCUCUUUUUUCCAGCCUCGGGAGAAGUAGCACCAAUCUACAAGUACACUACACUAGUACUGGUUUGUUUGUACCUCCUGUUUAUUCAUCUUCUUAUUAAUUUCAUGUACUCUUUAAGAAGAUAGAGAGAUCCACAUAUUUCUGUUUGGUUUUGUGUUUUUUUUGGCAAUUAAUAUCAUGUUCGGAUCUAGGAAAA
Long non-coding RNA from Papaver somniferum (opium poppy), 495 nucleotides. RefSeq lists it as uncharacterized. NCBI's taxonomy places the organism in Eukaryota, Viridiplantae, Streptophyta, Magnoliopsida, Ranunculales, Papaveraceae. The record is from RefSeq and is a predicted model, not a curated record. The transcript is spliced from 4 exons.